This 251-nucleotide ribosomal RNA is filed under the name uncultured bacterium. Its description in RNAcentral is "partial 16S ribosomal RNA". It matches the Rfam family "Bacterial small subunit ribosomal RNA", at positions 525 to 775 of the family's 1533-position model. RNAcentral also lists the same sequence under 1 other name. The record is from RNAcentral.
ACGGAGGAUCCGAGCGUUAUCCGGAUUUAUUGGGUUUAAAGGGUGCGUAGGCUGUUUUUUAAGUUAGAGGUGAAAGCUCGACGCUCAACGUCGAAAUUGCCUCUGAUACUGAGAGACUAGAGUGUAGUUGCGGAAGGCGGAAUGUGUGGUGUAGCGGUGAAAUGCUUAGAUAUCACACAGAACACCGAUUGCGAAGGCAGCUUUCCAAGCUAUUACUGACGCUGAGGCACGAAAGCGUGGGGAGCGAACAG